Apteryx haastii (Great spotted kiwi) is the source of this 171-nucleotide unclassified non-coding RNA. The record is from Ensembl. Lineage: Eukaryota; Metazoa; Chordata; Aves; Apterygiformes; Apterygidae.
UUUAAAGUGCUAGAUUGACAACCUAUUUAUUCACAGAACAGGCACAGCAUGGGCAACAGCAGUUCAAGUGUCUCACACUUUCCUAGCAAUGUCUCUGCACAGACCUGCUGAGACAGCUGCUGGAGGUGAAACAUUAAUGCAGUCUCCCUUCCCUUUCAGUCUCCGACUUGC